UCCGGUUUGUCACCGGCAGUCUCUCUAGAGUGCCCUUUCGUAGCAACUAGAGACAAGGGUUGCGCUCGUUGCGGGACUUAACCCAACAUCUCACGACACGAGCUGACGACAGCCAUGCAGCACCUGUGUUAGCGUUCCCUUUCGGGCACCCUCACAUCUCUGCGAGGUUCGCUACAAGUCAAGGGUAGGUAAGGUUUUUCGCGUUGCAUCGAAUUAAGCCACAUGCUCCGCCGCUUGUGCGGGUCCCCGUCAAUUCCUUUGAGUUUUAGCCUUGCGGCCGUACUCCCCAGGCGGAGUGCUUAAUGCGUUAGCUGCGGCACCGAAGGAGUCGCUCCCCCCAGCACCUAGUGCCCAUCGUUUACGGCGUGGACUAC
This 374-nucleotide unclassified non-coding RNA is filed under the name uncultured bacterium. RNAcentral's name for it is "contains 16S-23S intergenic spacer region". The record is from RNAcentral.